This 255-nucleotide ribosomal RNA is filed under the name uncultured bacterium. RNAcentral's name for it is "partial 16S ribosomal RNA". It matches the Rfam family "Bacterial small subunit ribosomal RNA", at positions 99 to 354 of the family's 1533-position model. The record is from RNAcentral.
CGGACGGGUGAGUAACGCGUGGGCAACCUGCCUUACACAGGGGGACAACAGCUGGAAACGGCUGCUAAUACCGCAUAUGCGCACAGGGCCGCAUGGCCUGGUGCGGAAAACUCCGGUGGUGUAAGAUGGGCCCGCGUCUGAUUAGGUAGUUGGCGGGGUAACGGCCCACCAAGCCGACGAUCAGUAGCCGGCCUGAGAGGGUGGACGGCCACAUUGGGACUGAGACACGGCCCAAACUCCUACGGAAGGCAGCAG